GUCUGUGGAUUAGUGGCCGAUGGCUACCCUGACCUCAAGACCUUUGGGGGUAAGCCGCCGCUGGUAGCCGCCGUCAGGCGUGAUCCAGUGGUCGGUAUCCUCCUCUUGCGGGGCAUAUGGCGCACCCGAGGACAGUUCUUGGUAGACAGGGACUCGAAUCGGUGUGUGACGGACCGUCCUGUGGGAAACUCAGUGGGGGCAAUUGGAUAGCGGGUGCGAGGAGGGAGUUAAAGGUCCUUAUGGGCUCUCCUGCCUAGUAGCCGUUGCGGUUGCACCGUUCGCGCGGUGUGGACGCCACCCAGUGUACAACUCGACCCUCGUUCGCGGGGGUGUCGAGGGAGCCUCGUGGGCCCUCUCGUCACGAUAGAUACCUGGUUGAUUCUGCCAGUAGUCAUA
RNAcentral lists this unclassified non-coding RNA (396 nucleotides) under Erysiphe uncinuloides. RNAcentral describes it as "partial miscellaneous RNA". Lineage: Eukaryota; Fungi; Ascomycota; Leotiomycetes; Helotiales; Erysiphaceae. The record is from RNAcentral.